GGUACCGUAAGGUGGUACCAGAAUAAGGGCUGGGCAAGACCGGUGCCAGCCGCCGCGGUAAUACCGGCAGCCCAAGUGAUGGCCGAUCUUAUUGGGCCUAAAGCGUCCGUAGCUGGCCGCGCAAGUCCAUCGGGAAAUCCACCUGCUCAACAGGUGGGCGCCCGGUAGAAACUGCGUGGCUUGGGACCGGAAGGCGCGACGGGUACGUCCGGGGUAGGAGUGAAAUCCCGUAAUCCUGGACGGACCGCCGAUGGCGAAAGCACGUCGCGAGAACGGAUCCGACAGUGAGGGACGAAAGCCAGGGUCUCGAACCGGAUUAGAUACCCGGGUAGUCCUGGCCGUAAACAAUGUCUGCUAGGUGUGGCUCCCACUACGAGUGGGUGCUGUGCCGUAGGGAAGCCGCUAAGCAGACCGCCUGGGAAGUACGUCCGCAAGGAUGAAACUU
Molecule: ribosomal RNA, 445 nt
Filed under: Halorubrum sp. HA74
Lineage: Archaea; Methanobacteriati; Methanobacteriota; Halobacteria; Halobacteriales; Haloferacaceae
Description: bacterial SSU rRNA
Rfam family: Archaeal small subunit ribosomal RNA
Source: RNAcentral